This is a long non-coding RNA of Capra hircus (goat), 732 nucleotides long. RefSeq lists it as uncharacterized. The record is from RefSeq and is a predicted model, not a curated record. Lineage: Eukaryota; Metazoa; Chordata; Mammalia; Artiodactyla; Bovidae. The transcript has 3 exons.
GGUCCCAGGGGCGCCGGCUGCGGCCGCAGACGGAGAAGGCGGCGGCGGAGGCACCGACUCGAGCUUGACCAGGGUCAGCGAGAUGAGCUGGAAAACAAGAGGUCACUGAUCCUUCGUGGGUCCUGGGAAUGACCACAUUAUCCAGUCCUGGAACCUCCUGUCCCAAACUGCUUCCUGCCCCAGACUCCUCCAGCAGGGUCCAAGUCUACCGUGGGUCUGUCACAGCCUGUCUUCCUCAUGCUCACCCACUUCUCCAUUGCCAAGAUGUAUUCUUUCCCCAAGUCCAAGCUCCAUCUUGGGAACCAGAAAGUGGCUGAUUGGGAAAUGAUGGAUGACCCGGCAAGCCCUUAUACACCCCUGCUGGUCCUCAAGACACCGAAGUUGGGAGCUAAUCCUUCUCUUACCUCGUACGCUGUCCAGCGAGGCUUGAAUACUGUCCCGAAGUUCAGGGUCGCUCACCCUCUCUGCCAGCUUCCUGAGGCGGUUUAAAGCCUGCCUGGCCACCUCAUGUCGUCUGACUUCUGCUCUCACUGCAGCUACAGCCAACUGCCUCUGGGCAUGCAUGUUGCCCAGACCUGUCCUGCUGGGCUAAGAGCAACCACUGGCCCUGAAGCCCAUGGCCCCACAGCCCCCAAACCCCAGAAGGCCCCUUCUGCUCAGCCUUAGAACUCCCUCCCCUGCCCGCCCUUCCGUCUGUCUGUCGACUUCACUUCCUGACUGGUGAGUUUCAAA